This 309-nucleotide ribosomal RNA is filed under the name uncultured archaeon. RNAcentral's name for it is "bacterial SSU rRNA". It matches the Rfam family "Archaeal small subunit ribosomal RNA", at positions 526 to 834 of the family's 1478-position model. The record is from RNAcentral.
UGGCCGGACAAGUCCAUCGGGAAAUCCACGCGCUCAACGCGUGGGCGUCCGGUGGAGACUAUCCGGCUUGGGACCGGAAGACCCGAGGGGUACGUCCGGGGUAGGAGUGAAAUCCCGUAAUCUCGGACGGACCACCGGUGGCGAAAGCGCCUCGGGAGGACGGAUCCGACAGUGAGGGACGAAAGCUGGGGUCUCGAACCGGAUUAGAUACCCGGGUAGUCCCAGCCGUAAACGAUGCUCGCUAGGUGUGGCGCAGGCUACGAGCCUGCGCUGUGCCGUAGGGAAGCCGUGAAGCGAGCCGCCUGGGAA